RNAcentral lists this ribosomal RNA (373 nucleotides) under uncultured eukaryote. Its description in RNAcentral is "partial 18S ribosomal RNA". It matches the Rfam family "Eukaryotic small subunit ribosomal RNA", at positions 592 to 976 of the family's 1831-position model. The record is from RNAcentral.
CAAUAGCGUAUAUUAAAGUUGUUGCAGUUAAAAAGCUCGUAGUUGAAUUUUUGCUUGCCGCCGAUGUCGGAACUUCCGUACGUUCGGCGGCGUGCAUCCUUGGGUGGAACCUGUGUGGCAUUAGGUUGUCGUGCAAGGGAUGCUCAUCGUUUACUGUGAAAAAAUUAGAGUGUUCAAAGCAGGCUUACGCCGUUGAAUAUAUUAGCAUGGAAUAAUAAGAUAGGACCUUGGUACUAUUUUGUUGGUUUGCGCACCGAGGUAAUGAUUAACAGGGACAGUUGGGGGUAUUCGUAUUCCAUUGUCAGAGGUGAAAUUCUUGGAUUUCUGGAAGACGAACUACUGCGAAAGCAUUUACCAAGGAUGUUUCCAUUAA